GUGGGGAAUCUUGCGCAAUGGGCGAAAGCCUGACGCAGCGACGCCGCGUGGGGGAAGAAGGCCUUAGGGUUGUAAACCUCUUUCAGGUGGGACGAAGCCACUCGGGUUAAUAGCCCAGAGGGUGACGGUACCGCCAGAAGAAGCCCCGGCUAACUACGUGCCAGCAGCCGCGGUAAUACGUAGGGGGCAAGCGUUGUCCGGAUUUAUUGGGCGUAAAGAGCGUGUAGGCGGCCAGGUAGGUGGGUUGUGAAAACUGGAGGCUCAACCUUCAGACGUCGACCCAAACCCCCUGGCUAGAGUCCGGAAGAGGAGAGUGGAAUUCCUGGUGUAGCGGUGAAAUGCGCAGAUAUCAGGAAGAACACCCGUGGCGAAGGCGGCUCUCUGGGACGGUACUGACGCUGAGACGCGAAAGCGUGGGGAGCGAACAGGAUUAGAAACCCUUGUAGUCC
This 449-nucleotide ribosomal RNA is filed under the name uncultured bacterium. Its description in RNAcentral is "bacterial SSU rRNA". It matches the Rfam family "Bacterial small subunit ribosomal RNA", at positions 354 to 796 of the family's 1533-position model. The record is from RNAcentral.